This 552-nucleotide ribosomal RNA is filed under the name Kalophrynus interlineatus (striped sticky frog). RNAcentral describes it as "partial 16S ribosomal RNA". It matches the Rfam family "Bacterial large subunit ribosomal RNA", at positions 1819 to 2597 of the family's 2925-position model. Lineage: Eukaryota; Metazoa; Chordata; Amphibia; Anura; Microhylidae. The record is from RNAcentral.
CGCCUUGUGACAAAAUAUACAAGGUCCAGCCUGCCCAGUGAUUUAUUUAACGGCCGCGGUACCCUAACCGUGCGAAGGUAGCACAAUCACUUGUUCCUUAAAUAGGGACUAGUAUGAAUGGCAUCACGAGGGUUAUUCUGUCUCCCCCUUUUAAUCAGUGAAACUGAUCUCCCCGUGAAGAAGCGGGGAUAUCAAUAUAAGACGAGAAGACCCCAUGGAGCUUUAAACUCAGAAACACCAGCUAUUUUUAAACCAAACCAAUACGCCUCCCUGAUUUCUAGUUUUCGGUUGGGGUGACCACGGAGUACAACACAACCUCCUUGAUGAAAGGAACUAUUUCCUUAUUUAAGAACUACAGUUCUAAAAAUCAAUACAUUGACAAAAAUUGAUCCAAAUUAUUUUGAUCAACGAACCAAGUUACCCUGGGGAUAACAGCGCAAUCCAUUUCAAGAGCUCAUAUCAACAAAUGGGUUUACGACCUCGAUGUUGGAUCAGGGUAUCCCAGUGGUGCAGCCGCUACUAAAGGUUCGUUUGUUCAACGAUUAAAACCCU